CCUACGGGAGGCAGCAGUAAGGAAUAUUGGUCAAUGGACGCAAGUCUGAACCAGCCAUGCCGCGUGAAGGAUGAAGGCCCUCUGGGUUGUAAACUUCUUUUAUCUGGGACGAAAAAAGGGGAUUCUUCCUCACUUGACGGUACCAGAGGAAUAAGCACCGGCUAACUCCGUGCCAGCAGCCGCGGUAAUACGGAGGGUGCAAGCGUUAUCCGGAUUUACUGGGUUUAAAGGGUGCGUAGGUGGGUCUGUAAGUCAGUGGUGAAAUCUCCGAGCUUAACUUGGAAACUGCCAUUGAUACUAUAGGUCUUGAAUUGUCUGGAGGUAAGCGGAAUAUGUCAUGUAGCGGUGAAAUGCUUAGAUAUGACAUAGAACACCCAUUGCGAAGGCAGCUUACUACGGAUUGAUUGACACUGAGGCACGAAAGCGUGGGGAUCAAACAGGAUUAGAUACCCUGGUAGUCCACGCCCUAAACGAUGGAUACUCGACAUCAGCGAUAUACUGUUGGUGUCUGAGCGAAAGCAUUAAGUAUCCCACCUGGGAAGUACGACCGCAAGGUUGAAACUCAAAUGAAUUGACGGCUGAGACGAGACGACGACGACGACGAGGGAGGAGG
RNAcentral lists this ribosomal RNA (613 nucleotides) under uncultured bacterium. RNAcentral describes it as "bacterial SSU rRNA". It matches the Rfam family "Bacterial small subunit ribosomal RNA", at positions 338 to 951 of the family's 1533-position model. The record is from RNAcentral.